Molecule: ribosomal RNA, 253 nt
Filed under: Flavonifractor plautii
Lineage: Bacteria; Bacillati; Bacillota; Clostridia; Eubacteriales; Oscillospiraceae
Description: partial 16S ribosomal RNA
Rfam family: Bacterial small subunit ribosomal RNA
Source: RNAcentral
UACGUAGGUGGCAAGCGUUAUCCGGAUUUACUGGGUGUAAAGGGCGUGUAGGCGGGCGAGCAAGUCAGAUGUGAAAUUCCAGGGCUCAACCCUGGAACUGCAUUUGAAACUGUUGGUCUUGAGUGCUGGAGAGGCAAUCGGAAUUCCGUGUGUAGCGGUGAAAUGCGUAGAUAUACGGAGGAACACCAGUGGCGAAGGCGGAUUGCUGGACAGUAACUGACGCUGAGGCGCGAAAGCGUGGGGAGCAAACAGG